RNAcentral lists this ribosomal RNA (452 nucleotides) under uncultured bacterium. RNAcentral describes it as "bacterial SSU rRNA". It matches the Rfam family "Bacterial small subunit ribosomal RNA", at positions 917 to 1382 of the family's 1533-position model. The record is from RNAcentral.
GGGCCCGCACAAGCAGCGGAGCGUGUGGUUUAAUUCGAGGCUACACGAAGCACCUUACCUGGGCUUGACAUGAUUGUGAACGAGGCGGAAACGCCGAGGGCCGCAAGGCACAGUCACAGGUGCUGCAUGGCUGUCGUCAGCUCGUGCCGUGAGGUGUUAGGUUAAGUCCUGUAACGAGCGCAACCCCUGGGUCCAGUUACACGCAGUCUGGACCGACUGCCCGCGACAAGCGGGAGGAAGGUGGGGAUGAUGUCAAGUCAGCAUGGCCUUUAUGUCCAGGGCUACACACACGCUACAAUGGCCGGUACAAUGGGUCGCCAAGCCGCAAGGCGCAGCCAAUCCUAUCAAAGCCGGUCUCAGUUCGGAUUGUGGGCUGCAACCCGCCCACAUGAAGUCGGAGUUGCUAGUAACCGCGCGUCAGCCAUAGUGCGGUGAAUACGUUCCCGGGCCUU